This 1317-nucleotide ribosomal RNA is filed under the name metagenome. RNAcentral describes it as "bacterial LSU rRNA". It matches the Rfam family "Bacterial large subunit ribosomal RNA", at positions 1621 to 2925 of the family's 2925-position model. The record is from RNAcentral.
UUCUAGCGAGACGAAAUCCGCCCGUACCGUAAACCGACACAGGUAGGCGGGGAGAGAAUCCUAAGGUGCGCGGGAAAACCCUCGUUAAGGAACUCGGCAAAUUGCAUCCGUAACUUCGGGAGAAGGAUGACCCUGAGUAGGCGAAAGGGAGAAACCCCCGGAACAGAAAAGGGUGGCAGAAAAGAGGCCCAAGCAACUGUUUACCAAAAACACAGGUGCCUGCGAAAGCGAAAGCUGAAGUAUAGGUGCUGACGCCUGCCCGGUGCUGGAAGGUUAAGGAGAGAGGUCAGCGAAAGCGAAGCUUUGAACUGAAGCCCCAGUGAACGGCGGCCGUAACAAUAACGGUCCUAAGGUAGCGAAAUUCCUUGUCGGGUAAGUUCCGACCCGCAUGAAAGGCGUAAUGAUUUGGGCACUGUCUCAACGAGGGGCCCGGUGAAAUUGAAAUACCUGUGAAGAUGCAGGUUACCCGCGACUGGACAGAAAGACCCCAUGGAGCUUCACUGCAGCUUGAGAUUGAAUCCCGGUGACAUAUGCACAGGAUAGGUGGGAGGCUAAGAAGUAAUGCCUUUGGGUGUUACAGAGCCGAUGUUGGGAUACCACCCUUAUGUUGCUGAGAUUCUAACACGGAGACUAACAACCUCGUGGACCAUCUCAGGCAGGCGGUUUGACUGGGGCGGUCGCCUCCUAAAAUGUAACGGAGGCGCCCAAAGGUUCCCUCAGGCCGGACAGAAACCGGCCGAAGAGUGCAAAGGCAGAAGGGAGCUUGACUGCGAGACAGACAAGUCGAGCAGAGACGAAAGUCGGGCUUAGUGAUCCGGUGGUACUGAGUGGAAAGGCCAUCGCUCAACGGAUAAAAGCUACCCUGGGGAUAACAGGCUAAUCUCUCCCAAGAGUUCAUAUCGACGGGGAGGUUUGGCACCUCGAUGUCGGCUCAUCACAUCCUGAGCUGGAGUAGGUUCCAAGGGUUGGGCUGUUCGCCCAUUAAAGUGGUACGCGAGCUGGGUUCAAAACGUCGUGAGACAGUUUGGUUCAUAUCCAUCGCGGGCGCAAGAAGUUUGAGGGAGGCUGCUCCUAGUACGAGAGGACCGGAGUGGACGGAUCAACGGUGUACCAGUUGUCACGCCAGUGGCACGGCUGGAAAGCCGCAUCCGGAAAGGAUAAACGCUGAAAGCAUCUAAGCGUGAAGCCCGUCCCGAGAUGAGACUUCUCAUCAGCAAUGAGUAAGACCCCUUAAAGACGAUGAGGUUGAUAGGCUGUGAGUGGAAGUGGCGCAAGUCAUGGAGCGACGCAGUACUAAUAGGUCGAGGUCUUAGCGAA